AACAUUGAGCUGUGGAUCAAUCGGCUCGUGUGUCGAUGAAGAGGGAAGCCUACUGUAUGAAUUAAGGUGAACUGCAUACUGCUUUGAACAUAGACAUCUUGAAAGUAUAUUGCGUCUACGGGAUAUCCUGCGGUCACGCUUGGCCGAGCGUCG
Non-coding RNA from Schistosoma mattheei, 153 nucleotides. Lineage: Eukaryota; Metazoa; Platyhelminthes; Trematoda; Strigeidida; Schistosomatidae. The record is from Rfam.